Molecule: long non-coding RNA, 227 nt
Filed under: Elaeis guineensis (African oil palm)
Lineage: Eukaryota; Viridiplantae; Streptophyta; Magnoliopsida; Arecales; Arecaceae
Description: long non-coding RNA (EGUI_LNC009784)
Source: RNAcentral
UUCUUGAACCACUUAUUUAGACACCAGUCAGAUUGACCAAUCUGAAUUUAGUCCAACUCUAAGGGUUCUUUGUCCUAUUGAGCUCGAGAAUCCUUAGAGGCUAAAGUCUAAUUGAUUUUAGAUUAAAGACUUUGGUUAAUACAAUAUGAAGGGUGAUGGUUUGUGGGCUAAGAAAUGAUGAUGAAAUCUCCACCUUAUGUUGAUUAGGAUUUGUGCUCUUAAAGUAA